This is a long non-coding RNA of Bubalus bubalis (water buffalo), 741 nucleotides long. RefSeq lists it as uncharacterized. The transcript has 3 exons. NCBI's taxonomy places the organism in Eukaryota, Metazoa, Chordata, Mammalia, Artiodactyla, Bovidae. The record is from RefSeq and is a predicted model, not a curated record.
GUAUAUGUUGCAAUGCUUUCCUUCAGAAACUGAGAAAGAAAUGAUUGUUUUUUCUAUUUAGUUUCUAGAAUAAAUCAAGUUGCCGUGUUUUGCUUCUCCAAUAUUUACAGAGGAUAAAGGGUAUGCACUAAAACUUAAUAUGAACCCAUGUGAAUAUUUGCAUAAUAUGUAUUCAGACCAUUCCCGAAUUAACAAUGUCUGAUUUCAAAUGGCUCAUAUAUACAAUUGCCAAACACUUUUGAUUUCACUGCUGCUAGAAACUUCCCUGAAUCCUGUUACUUUUCUCAUCUCUUCUGUAGCACUGGAUUUUUGGAACCCCUGUUAUGUCAGAGGGGUACACCAUGGAGAUUCCUGAUAUUCUUAAAAUGUUUCACUGUAAGAGAUGUCUUCCUUGGUUACCAAGUUGGAACAGAAGAACUGAGUUGCUGGUCAAUCAGGAUUUUAUUGAAAGCCUAUUAUAUGGGAAAGAAAAACAAAACACUAGCCGGGAGUAUUAAUUGAUGAGUGCAGAAGAUACUCAGUGCCUCGGAACCUGGAGGGCGCAAUUUAAUUCUCCUGCUGCUGUUCAUAAUCUGAGAAACUGAAGAACCGUUUUGUCAUCCCUACUACCUCCCUCAACUGUUGCUGCUGCUGCUGCUAAGUCGCUUCAGUCAUGUGUGACUCUGCAACUCCAUAGAAGCAGCCCAACAGGCUCCUCCAUCACUGGGAUUCUCCAGGCAAGAACACUGGAGUGGGUUGCCA